GGUUUAAUAGUCAAAUUUAUGAUUUUAAGUUGCAAUCUUAAAGGUAAGUAAUUUUUUAAACUU
This 63-nucleotide transfer RNA is filed under the name Tenebrionoidea sp. 11 KM-2017. RNAcentral describes it as "tRNA-Cys". The record is from RNAcentral. Lineage: Eukaryota; Metazoa; Arthropoda; Insecta; Coleoptera.